GUGAGUCAUCGAAUCUUUGAACGCAUAUUGCGCCCCUUGGUAUUCCGGGGGGCACACCUGUUCGAGCGCCAUUUCAACCCUCAAGCAUAGCUUGGUGUUGGGUAAGGUCCUUUUUUAAUUAGGGGACCAACCCGUAACUUGUAGGCGACCAUCGACCGCGCCCCUAGCGUAGCAAGCUAAUUCGCAUUCGCUCGGGGACGGGUUUUGUUGUGGUUUAGUGCCCACUAAAAAAUUUUCAAAGGUUUGGCCUCGGAUCAGGUGGGGAUACCCGCUGAACUUAAGCAUAUCAAUAAGCGGAGGA
RNAcentral lists this unclassified non-coding RNA (301 nucleotides) under Pezizomycetes sp. Its description in RNAcentral is "partial contains 5.8S ribosomal RNA, internal transcribed spacer 2, and large subunit ribosomal RNA". The stretch from base 1 to 71 matches the Rfam family "5.8S ribosomal RNA", at positions 84 to 154 of the family's 154-position model. The record is from RNAcentral. Lineage: Eukaryota; Fungi; Ascomycota; Pezizomycetes.